Molecule: ribosomal RNA, 221 nt
Filed under: Mantidactylus melanopleura
Lineage: Eukaryota; Metazoa; Chordata; Amphibia; Anura; Mantellidae
Description: partial 16S ribosomal RNA
Source: RNAcentral
UUCAAACCCAACUACACCCCUAGCUCUUAUAGCCCCACAACCCCCCUAGGCACCGUGUGCUUGGUUUUAGGUUGGGGCGACCGCGGAGUACAAUAAAACCUCCACAAUGAAUGGGAACACCCCCUUAUCUGAGGGCCACACCCCCUAAGAAUUAGAACACUAACAUAAAAUGAUCCAUUAUUUGAUCAAUGAACCAAGUUACCCUGGGGAUAACAGCGCAA